CACAGUCCUUAAGUAUACAUUACUCUUGCUGUCCUUUGUCUCCAGAGUGACAAUAACAGCACUGUGUUAAACAAUCUAGUAAGUGGAAUCGAAGUGGUCAAUGUCACCAUUGAAAACCUCACCGACCCAGUGACCAUUGUCUUCCAGAACACAACCUUGCCGACUAACUCAAGUGGAAAAUGUGCCUUUUGGGAUUUCAGAAAAGGGAGCACAAGUCAUGGCAUCUGGAGUGAAUCUGGCUGUACGACAGAAAGUCAGCUUCACUAC
Molecule: non-coding RNA, 267 nt
Organism: Chiloscyllium plagiosum (whitespotted bambooshark)
Lineage: Eukaryota; Metazoa; Chordata; Chondrichthyes; Orectolobiformes; Hemiscylliidae
Source: RefSeq, a predicted model, not a curated record